UACGGAGGAUCCAAGCGUUAUCCGGAAUCAUUGGGUUUAAAGGGUCCGUAGGCGGUCUUGUAAGUCAGUGGUGAAAGCCCAUCGCUCUACGGUGGAACGGCCAUUGAUACUGCAGGACUUGAAUUAUUGGGAAGUAACUAGAAUAUGUAGUGUAGCGGUGAAAUGCUUAGAGAUUACAUGGAAUACCAAUUGCGAAGGCAGGUUACUACCAAUUGAUUGACGCUGAUGGACGAAAGCGUGGGUAGCGAACAGG
This 253-nucleotide ribosomal RNA is filed under the name uncultured bacterium. RNAcentral's name for it is "partial 16S ribosomal RNA". It matches the Rfam family "Bacterial small subunit ribosomal RNA", at positions 524 to 776 of the family's 1533-position model. The record is from RNAcentral.